UGGGGAAUCUUGCGCAAUGGGCGAAAGCCUGACGCAGCGACGCCGCGUGAGUGAUGAAGGCCUUCGGGUUGUAAAGCUCUGUGGGGAGAGAAGAAUAAGUGCGGGCUAAUACUCCGCAUGAUGACGGUAUCUCCUUAGCAAGCACCGGCUAACUCUGUGCCAGCAGCCGCGGUAAGACAGAGGGUGCAAACGUUGUUCGGAAUUACUGGGCGUAAAGCGAGUGUAGGCGGUUUGGUAAGUCGGAUGUGAAAGCCCCGGGCUCAACCCGGGAAGUGCACUCGAUACUGCCAAGCUAGAGUAUCGGAGAGGUUGGUGGAAUUCUCGGUGUAGAGGUGAAAUUCGUAGAUAUCGAGAGGAACACCGGUGGCGAAGGCGGCCAACUGGACGAAUACUGACGCUGAGACUCGAAAGCGUGGGGAGCAAACAGGAUUAGAUACCCCUGUAGUCCCUGAGCGGGCUGGCAAGGCGCAU
RNAcentral lists this ribosomal RNA (471 nucleotides) under uncultured bacterium. RNAcentral's name for it is "bacterial SSU rRNA". It matches the Rfam family "Bacterial small subunit ribosomal RNA", at positions 355 to 825 of the family's 1533-position model. The record is from RNAcentral.